UGGGGGAUUUUGCACAAUGGGCGCAAGCCUGAUGCAGCGACGCCGCGUGAGGGAUGAAGGCCUUCGGGUUGUAAACCUCUUUCGCUGGGUUGAAAGGCCAUGCUUUGGGUGUGGUUGAUUUGAACUGGUAAAGAAGUACCGGCUAACUACGUGCCAGCAGCCGCGGUAAUACGUAGGGUACUAGCGUUGUCCGGAUUUAUUGGGCGUAAAGGGCUUGUAGGUGGUUUGUCGCGUCUGUCGUGAAAUCCUGUGGCUUAACCAUGGGCUUGCGGUGGGUACGGGCAGGCUUGAGUGCGGUAGGGGAGACUGGAAUUCCUGGUGUAGCGGUGGAAUGCGCAGAUAUCAGGAGGAACACCGGUGGCGAAGGGGGGUCUCUGGGCCGUUACUGACACUGAGGAGCGAAAGCGUGGGGAGCGAACAGG
RNAcentral lists this ribosomal RNA (422 nucleotides) under Fusobacteriota bacterium. RNAcentral describes it as "Fusobacteria bacterium partial 16S ribosomal RNA". It matches the Rfam family "Bacterial small subunit ribosomal RNA", at positions 355 to 776 of the family's 1533-position model. Lineage: Bacteria; Fusobacteriati; Fusobacteriota. The record is from RNAcentral.